Molecule: ribosomal RNA, 444 nt
Filed under: uncultured bacterium
Lineage: Bacteria
Description: bacterial SSU rRNA
Rfam family: Bacterial small subunit ribosomal RNA
Source: RNAcentral
CCAGACUCCUACGGGAGGCAGCAGUGGGGGAUAUUGCACAAUGGGGGAAACCCUGAUGCAGCGACGCCGCGUGGGUGAAGAAGCGCCUCGGCGCGUAAAGCCCUGUCAGCAGGGAAGAAAAUGACGGUACCUGAAGAAGAAGCCCCGGCUGACUACGUGCCAGCAGCCGCGGUAAUACGUAGGGGGCAAGCGUUAUCCGGAUUUACUGGGUGUAAAGGGAGCGUAGACGGUGAGACAAGUCUGAAGUGAAAGCCCGGGGCUCAACUCCGGGACUGCUUUUGGAACUACAUGGCUUGAUUGCAGGAGAGGCAAGUGGAAUUCCUAGUGUAGCGGUGAAAUGCGUAGAUAUUAGGAGGAACACCAGUGGCGAAGGCGGCUUGCUGGACUGUAAAUGACGCUGAGGCUCGAAAGCGUGGGGAGCAAACAGGAUUAGAUACCCGGGUA